UCCCUAGUGGCUCAGAUGGUAAAGAAUCUGCCUGCAAUGCAGGAGACCUGGGUUCGAUCCCUGGGUCGGGAA
RNAcentral lists this transfer RNA (72 nucleotides) under Ovis aries (sheep). It matches the Rfam family "tRNA". From Rfam's summary of the family: Transfer RNA (tRNA) molecules are approximately 80 nucleotides in length. Their secondary structure includes four short double-helical elements and three loops (D, anti-codon, and T loops). The record is from Rfam by way of RNAcentral. Lineage: Eukaryota; Metazoa; Chordata; Mammalia; Artiodactyla; Bovidae.